This 72-nucleotide transfer RNA is filed under the name Danionella cerebrum. Its description in RNAcentral is "tRNA-Pro". The record is from RNAcentral. Lineage: Eukaryota; Metazoa; Chordata; Actinopteri; Cypriniformes; Danionidae.
GGAUUGUUGGUCUAGGGGUAUGCUUCUUGCUUAGGGUGCCAGAAGUCCCAGGUUUAAAUCCUGGAUGAGCCC